Molecule: ribosomal RNA, 253 nt
Filed under: uncultured bacterium
Lineage: Bacteria
Description: partial 16S ribosomal RNA
Rfam family: Bacterial small subunit ribosomal RNA
Source: RNAcentral
AACGUAGGGGGCAAGCGUUGCUCGGAAUCACUGGGUGUAAAGGGCGCGUAGGCGGAUAAAUAAGUCAGAUGUGAAAUCCCUGGGCUUAACCCCGGAACUGCAUCCGAAGCUGUUUAGCUGGAGUAGUGGAGAGGAUAGAGGAACUCCUGGUGUAGCGGUGAAAUUCGUAGAUAUCGGGAGGAACGCCGAUAGCGAAGGCGGCUUGCUGGACACUUACUGACGCUGAGGCGCGAAAGCGUGGGGAGCAAACAGG